RNAcentral lists this ribosomal RNA (247 nucleotides) under uncultured Staphylococcus sp. Its description in RNAcentral is "partial 16S ribosomal RNA". It matches the Rfam family "Bacterial small subunit ribosomal RNA", at positions 524 to 770 of the family's 1533-position model. The record is from RNAcentral. Lineage: Bacteria; Bacillati; Bacillota; Bacilli; Caryophanales; Staphylococcaceae.
UACGUAGGUGGCAAGCGUUAUCCGGAAUUAUUGGGCGUAAAGCGCGCGUAGGCGGUUUUUUAAGUCUGAUGUGAAAGCCCACGGCUCAACCGUGGAGGGUCAUUGGAAACUGGAAAACUUGAGUGCAGAAGAGGAAAGUGGAAUUCCAUGUGUAGCGGUGAAAUGCGCAGAGAUAUGGAGGAACGCCAGUGGCGAAGGCGACUUUCUGGUCUGUAACUGACGCUGAUGUGCGAAAGCGUGGGGAUCA